UUGGUCAAUUGUUGUUUGAUCUAUUUUUCAGCUUUAAAUGCAGUAUGAUAUGUGAUGUAUUUAUUUUAUGGUUACAUAUGCAUGAAUCAUGGUUUCUUUUAUUAUGGUUUGAAUUAUGGUGAACCCGAUGUUGUGUUGUCUUGUUUGGUGUCAAUUACUGGUUUACGUGUUUGUGUAUGAUUGGAUGAUUGAGACCAAGGAAAAGGAAAAAAAAGUUAUGUGAAUUGAUAAAUGGAUAAUAUGGACAGUCUGACUAGAUAUCCUGGGAAAUGGUGGAUGGACCGGGUCC
RNAcentral lists this long non-coding RNA (289 nucleotides) under Carica papaya (papaya). RNAcentral describes it as "long non-coding RNA (CPAP_LNC009718)". Lineage: Eukaryota; Viridiplantae; Streptophyta; Magnoliopsida; Brassicales; Caricaceae. The record is from RNAcentral.